AGAGUUUGAUCCUGGCUCAGGAUGAACGCUGCGGCGUGGAUAAGGCAUGCAAGUCGUGCGCCGAGCACUCAAGCAAUUGAGUGCUUGGAGCGGCAAACGGGUUAGUAACACGUAGGUACAUACCGUCGAGACAGAAACAACCCAGAGAAAUCUGGGCUAAUAUCUGAUAGUCUCCAAAAGAGUAAAGGCUUCGCAAGAAGCCGCUCGACGAAUGACCUGCGGCCUAUCAGCUAGUUGGUGAGGUAACGGCUCACCAAGGCGAUGACGGGUAGGCGGGCUGAGAGGCCGAUCGCCAACAAGGGCACUGCGACACGGGCCCUACUCCUACGGGAGGCUGCAGUCGAGAAUCUUUGGCAAUGGGGGAAACCCUGACCAUGCGACGCCGCGUGCUCGAAGAAGCCCCUCGGGGUGUAAAGAGCUUUUUUGGAGGAGGAAUCUUCGGAUGACUGUACUCCAAGAAUAAGAAGGUGCUAACUCUGUGCCAGCAGCAGCGGUAAUACAGAGCCUUCAAGCGUUAUCCGGAUUUAUUGGGCGUAAAGAGUCUGUAGGUGUUUUGUUAGGUUUUCUGUUAAAUUUCUAGGGCUUAACCUUAGAGCUGCAGAAAAAACCGGCGAAAUGGAGGGCGUUAGGGGCUGAUGGAACGGUCGAUGUAGGGGUGAAAUCCGUUGAUAUCGACCGGAACACCAAAAGCGAAGGCAUUCAGCUGGGACGACCCUGACACUGAGAGACGAAAGCGUGGGGAGCAAAAAGGAUUAGAUACCCUUGUAGUCCACGCUGUAAACGAUGAACACUAGCUAUUGGCAGUGUCGACCCUGUCAGUGGCGAAGCAAACGCGUUAAGUGUUCCGCCUGGGAAGUACGGCCGCAAGGCUAAAACUCAAAGGAAUAGACGGGACUUCACACAAGCGGUGGACCAUGUGGCUUAAUUCAACAACAAGCGAGGAACCUUACCAGGGUUUGAAAUCCAGCCGAACCCUCGAUGAAAAUCGAGGCUUCUCACAAGGACGGCUGGACAGGUGCUGCACGGCUGUCGUCAGCAUGUGCUUUGAAGUGCACCCUUAAAUGGGGUAACAUGCGCAACCCUUGUUCUGCGUUUUAUUUGUCGCAGGAGACUGCCCUGGAUAGCAGGAGGAAGGAGAGGAUGACGCCAAGUCAGCGUGGCCCUUUGAUACCCUGGGCUGCACACGUGGUACAAUGGCCGUUACAAUGGGCUGCAAAGCUGUAAAGCCGAGCUAAUCCCACCAAAAACGGUCUCAGUUCGGAUUGAGGUCUGAAACCCGACCUCAUGAAGCCGGAAUCGCUAGUAAUCGCCAAUCAGCCAUGUGGCGAUGAAUAUGUCCCUGAAGUUUGUACUCACCGCCCGUCACGUCAAGCGAGCUGGGAAUACCCAAAGCGCCUCGCAAGAGGAACUAAGGUAGGCUCAGUGAGAUGGACGAAGUCGUAACAAGGCA
RNAcentral lists this ribosomal RNA (1450 nucleotides) under metagenome. RNAcentral describes it as "bacterial SSU rRNA". It matches the Rfam family "Bacterial small subunit ribosomal RNA". The record is from RNAcentral.